GACGAACGCUGGCGGCGUGCUUAACACAUGCAAGUCGAACGGAAAGGCCCUGCUUUUGUGGGGUGCUCGAGUGGCGAACGGGUGCGUAACACGUGAGUAACCUGACCUUGACUUUGGGGUAACUUCAGGAAACUGGGGCUACUACCGGAUAGGAGCUCCUGCUGCAUGGUGGGGGUGGGAAAGUUUCGGCGGUUGGGGAUGGACUCGCGGCAUAUCAGCUUGUUGGUGGGGUAGUGGCUUACCAAGGCUUUGACGGGUAGCCGGCCUGAGAGGGGGACCGGACACAUUGGGACUGAGAUACGGCCCAGACUCGUACGGGAGGCAGCAGUGGGGAAUAGUGCACAAUGGGCGGAAGCCUGAUGCAGCAACGCCGCGUGCGGGAUGACGGCCUUCGGGUUGUAAACCGCUUUCGCCUGUGACGAAGCGUGAGUGACGGUAAUGGGUAAAGAAGCACCGGCUAACUACGUG
This 468-nucleotide ribosomal RNA is filed under the name uncultured bacterium. RNAcentral describes it as "partial 16S ribosomal RNA". It matches the Rfam family "Bacterial small subunit ribosomal RNA", at positions 28 to 507 of the family's 1533-position model. The record is from RNAcentral.